Molecule: microRNA precursor, 66 nt
Filed under: Marmota monax (woodchuck)
Lineage: Eukaryota; Metazoa; Chordata; Mammalia; Rodentia; Sciuridae
Source: RNAcentral
CGUGUGUGUGUGUGUGUGUGUGUGUGUGUGUGCGCACACGUGUGCACACACACAUACACACACGCA